Paramacrobiotus metropolitanus is the source of this 578-nucleotide long non-coding RNA. RefSeq lists it as uncharacterized. The transcript is spliced from 3 exons. Lineage: Eukaryota; Metazoa; Tardigrada; Eutardigrada; Parachela; Macrobiotidae. The record is from RefSeq and is a predicted model, not a curated record.
GCACCUUCACGUUGGAGUACAUGAUUUCGUCCAUGCAGCGAGAGAGCAAAUUAAGUUUCAGGUGCACAGCGCAUCCCGGGUGUAAGCGAUAUCGGCAAUGCGGUUUGGAAAGCGCUGGAGGCAGGGCUACCCGCACCCACCGGGGCGCAACUGUACUUUCUAUCCGCGUUUCUGACUGCAGCUCCAGCGGAGCCGGAACGACGAGACAUUCUGCAGGUCUUUUGCAAGGUGUUGUGCGCGCUGCAGUCGGCCGGUCCGCGUCAUCGCUGCACUUCCGCGGGAAGCAGUGGUGUUUGGAUGGAGUGAAGAGCUUUCAAUGAGAAACUGUCGCGGCUGACGCUGCGGUUCCUCCUCCAGGACAUACUCGUACUAAGAGAUGUGAGGCGAUCUAACUAUGUGCGCAGACGCGCAACAGAGGCGGUUGGAAAGGAAGACUAUCGUGCGUUGCCGAAGGAAUUGUGGCGGGAAGUCUUUUUCCAUUUCGGCAAGGUGACGCAGACGCGGCUGCGUGCCGUCUGCGCCACCUGGAACCUGAUCCUGGAUUCGCCGGUUCUCGCUGUCUGCAUCGUUCUUGAGCG